This 483-nucleotide ribosomal RNA is filed under the name uncultured bacterium. RNAcentral describes it as "partial 16S ribosomal RNA". It matches the Rfam family "Bacterial small subunit ribosomal RNA", at positions 30 to 507 of the family's 1533-position model. The record is from RNAcentral.
UUGAACGCUGGCGGCAGGCCCAACCCAUGCAAGUCGAGCGGAUGAAGGGAGCUUGCUCCUGGAUUCAGCGGCGGACGGGUGAGUAAUGCCUAGGAAUCUGCCUGGUAGUGGGGGAUAACGUCCGGAAACGGGCGCUAAUACCGCAUACGUCCUGAGGGAGAAAGUGGGGGAUCUUCGGACCUCACGCUAUCAGAUGAGCCUAGGUCGGAUUAGCUAGUUGGUGGGGUAAAGGCCUACCAAGGCGACGAUCCGUAACUGGUCUGAGAGGAUGAUCAGUCACACUGGAACUGAGACACGGUCCAGACUCCUACGGGAGGCAGCAGUGGGGAAUAUUGGACAAUGGGCGAAAGCCUGAUCCAGCCAUGCCGCGUGUGUGAAGAAGGUCUUCGGAUUGUAAAGCACUUUAAGUUGGGAGGAAGGGCAGUAAGUUAAUACCUUGCUGUUUUGACGUUACCAACAGAAUAAGCACCGGCUAACUUCGUG